AUGAAGGGCAUGGUGUGCCUGGUGGCCGUGGCACUGGUCCUCGCCGGCAGCGUCAGCAUUGCGGCGGCGCAGGCGGCCGGGCUGAAGAAGGGCUUCUACAAGAAGAGCUGCCCGCAGGCGGAGGACAUCGCGCAGAAGGUGGUGUGGAAGCACGUCGCCGGCAACCGCGAGCUCGCCGCCAAGUUCCUCCGCAUGUUCUUCCACGACUGCUUCGUCAGGGGGUGCGAUGCGUCGGUGCUUCUGGACUCGCCGACCAACACGGCGGAGAAGGACGCGCCGCCGAACCUGUCGCUGGCCGGGUUCGAGGUCAUCGACGAGGUGAAGGCGGCGCUGGAGCGGGCGUGCCCGGGGGUGGUCUCGUGCGCCGACAUCGUGGCGCUGGCGGCGCGGGACUCGGUGUCGUUCCAGUACGGGAAGAAGCUGUGGGAGGUGGAGACGGGGCGGCGGGACGGCACCGUGUCCAGCGACACGCAGGCGUUGAACGAGAUCCCGGCGCCGUCCUCCACCUUCGACAUUCUCCUCACCAACUUCUCCGGCAAGGGCCUCGGCCUCCAGGACCUCGUCGUCCUCUCAGGCGGACACACCAUCGGAAUAGGCAACUGCAACCUCUUCAGCUCCAGGCUCUUCAACUUCACGGGCAAGAACAACCCCACCGACACCGACCCCUCCCUCAACCCACCCUACGCCAAGUUCCUCCAGGGGCAGUGCAGGCGUAACCAGCAGGACCCGAACGACAACACGACGGUGGUGCCCAUGGACCCCGCCAGCAGCACCUCCUUCGACAGCCACUACUUCGUCAACCUCAAGGCGCGGCAGGGGAUGUUCACCUCCGACGCCACGCUGCUCACCAACGGCCGCGCCGCCGCGCUCGUCGACAAGCUGCAGGACAACGGCGUCUUCUUCGACCACUUCAAGAACUCCAUCAAGCGCAUGGGCCAGAUCGGCGUCCUCACCGGCGCCAGCGGCCAGAUCAGGAACAAGUGCAACGUCGUCAACUCCUAG
Molecule: ribosomal RNA, 1002 nt
Filed under: Triticum aestivum (bread wheat)
Lineage: Eukaryota; Viridiplantae; Streptophyta; Magnoliopsida; Poales; Poaceae
Description: partial small subunit ribosomal RNA
Source: RNAcentral